RNAcentral lists this ribosomal RNA (498 nucleotides) under uncultured bacterium. RNAcentral describes it as "bacterial LSU rRNA". It matches the Rfam family "Bacterial large subunit ribosomal RNA", at positions 1067 to 1620 of the family's 2925-position model. The record is from RNAcentral.
UAAACGAGGUCCGGUUGCAGCGACGAGCUAGGAUGUUGGCUUGGAAGCAGCCAUUCAUUUAAAGAGUGCGUAACAGCUCACUAGUCGAGCGACUGGGCAUGGAUAAUAAUCGGGCAUAAGCAUAUCACCGAAGCUAUGGAUUGCCGACUUUGUCGGCACUGGUAGGGGAGCAUUCCAAAUAGCGUUGAAGUUGUACUGAUAAGGUAUGGUGGAGCAUUUGGAAAAGCAAAUGUAGGCAUAAGUAACGAUAAUGCGGGGUGAGAAACCCGCACGCCGAUAGACUAAGGAUUCCUGAUCAACGUUAAUCGGAUCAGGGUAAGCCGGGGGCCUAAGGUGAACCCGAAGGGGGUAACCGAUGGGAAGCAGGUUAAUAUUCCUGCGCACUUUGUGCAAUAAAAGUGACGGAGCGACGUAGUUGCUAGGUACUGACGGAAUAGUACGUUGAGCAUAGCCUUCGGGCGAAGCGAAGCAAUGAAAUUACUUCCAAGAAAAGCGAGC